UCCCUGGUGGUUCAGUGGUUAAGAGUCUGUGUUCCCGAUGCAGAGGGCCUGGGUUAAAUCCCUGGUCGGGGAA
Molecule: non-coding RNA, 73 nt
Organism: Bos taurus (domestic cattle)
Lineage: Eukaryota; Metazoa; Chordata; Mammalia; Artiodactyla; Bovidae
Source: Rfam